This 136-nucleotide ribosomal RNA is filed under the name uncultured eukaryote. RNAcentral's name for it is "partial 18S ribosomal RNA". It matches the Rfam family "Eukaryotic small subunit ribosomal RNA", at positions 1299 to 1458 of the family's 1831-position model. The record is from RNAcentral.
UGGUGGAGUGAUUUGUCUGGUUAAUUCCGAUAACGAACGAGACCUUAACCUGCUAAUUAGUCUUGUUUAUUCUAUAGAUUAGACUUCUUAGAGGGACUAUGCUACAAAAAGUGCAUGGAAGUUUGAGGCAAUAACA